AGUCUGCGGGGAGGCGUCCGGGCCUCGCGACGCAGCGAGCGCGCAGUCACGUAGCCACGAGCCCGCCAGCCCCUCCGCGUCGCCGCGGACCGCGCGGACUCUUGAAGGGCACCCCGUCCCGGGCCUCGCCUCACCCUCUUUGUGGUGAUGAAAGGAAAUGAUUGAUUUUACUUGGACUUGGUGAUUCUUUAAGGCCACAGUUUCCAUUUUCAACAGAGAUGGUUUUCAAAAUUCUGUUGGUGGAUGCAGCCUUCAGAAUAAGGACUAAUCAGAAGCAGGAUGUGUAAAACGGCAGAGGUGUGAACACAUGUGCCAUCCUGCCUCUCCUCCAGCAUCAAAUGGCCUGGCAGCUGCGAGGCCCUUGGGUUCUUCAGCGGACAGCUUGAAAAUCUCUGGCCUGUAGGUUAAUGGUUCCCCUGUGAGGCCGCAGUAGAGAUGCUGGCCAGCACUGCAGGCACACCCCAGGCUGGAUGAUCCCUCUUGAGAUGGCUUCAUCACCUGACGGGCCUGUUUGUCAGUGGAUUGUGUGGGCUCUGACUGAAGACUUUAAUCGAUGUGGAACUGGAUGGCAAGGAGGUAGUUUGCUCCGAAGUCUGAGUGCAUCUUCCUCACCUGCUAAGAGCUUGGGUGAAGUUUCUGCACCUAAGGGUAGCUUUCAACGACUUACUUUCUAAAUGAAUGGUGUGUAGAAGUGAUUGGCAGGUGUAAGAGACAUCACCAUGGCAACUCUUCAUAAGGGAAAUCGGCUGCUGAGCAAGUUGGAGCAGAGCUGCUGGGAUGUGAUCCAAGCAUGACACUGCUUACACAUGUUGGUCAAAAUCAUGGGGUCAGCACAGCAGCUGCUCAGUCCUCUCGACGCCUGGUUGGCUUACCAGAAGAGGCAUGCAUGAAAAGCUUCAUUGAAUUACUGAGGAUAAGCGUAACAGACGAGGUGGCCCCAAACACCAGGCGAGGCUCCUGAUGCUGACCUGAUGGUGAGCCCCUUCUCCCUGGGGCUCCGUGGCUGCUGGGCUCUGCCUCA
Molecule: long non-coding RNA, 1021 nt
Organism: Camelus dromedarius (Arabian camel)
Lineage: Eukaryota; Metazoa; Chordata; Mammalia; Artiodactyla; Camelidae
Exons: 8
Source: RefSeq, a predicted model, not a curated record